RNAcentral lists this ribosomal RNA (574 nucleotides) under uncultured Arcobacter sp. Its description in RNAcentral is "bacterial SSU rRNA". It matches the Rfam family "Bacterial small subunit ribosomal RNA", at positions 76 to 670 of the family's 1533-position model. Lineage: Bacteria; Pseudomonadati; Campylobacterota; Epsilonproteobacteria; Campylobacterales; Arcobacteraceae. The record is from RNAcentral.
UGCUUUAUUUGUCAGCUAAGUGGCGCACGGGUGAGUAAUGUAUAGGUAAUAUGCCUCUUACUAAGGGAUAACAAUUGGAAACGAUUGCUAAUACCUUAUAUUCCUUUUUAUCAAAAGAUAAAAAGGGAAAGAUUUAUUGGUAAGAGAUUAGCCUGUAUUGUAUCAGUUAGUUGGUGGGGUAAUGGCCUACCAAGACAAUGACGCAUAACUGGUUUGAGAGGAUGAUCAGUCACACUGGAACUGAGACACGGUCCAGACUCCUACGGGAGGCAGCAGUGGGGAAUAUUGCACAAUGGACGAAAGUCUGAUGCAGCAACGCCGCGUGGAGGAUGACACAUUUCGGUGCGUAAACUCCUUUUAUAUAAGAAGAUAAUGACGGUAUUAUAUGAAUAAGCACCGGCUAACUCCGUGCCAGCAGCCGCGGUAAUACGGAGGGUGCAAGCGUUACUCGGAAUCACUGGGCGUAAAGAGCGUGUAGGCGGAUUGAUAAGUUUGAAGUGAAAUCCUAUAGCUUAACUAUAGAACUGCUUUGAAAACUGUUAAUCUAGAAUGUGGGAGAGGUAGAUGGAAUUUC